Long non-coding RNA from Osmia lignaria (orchard mason bee), 1265 nucleotides. RefSeq lists it as uncharacterized. The record is from RefSeq and is a predicted model, not a curated record. NCBI's taxonomy places the organism in Eukaryota, Metazoa, Arthropoda, Insecta, Hymenoptera, Megachilidae.
AGCCCGUGUUCGCGUCGAGCAAUAGUUUUCGUGUGAAAAUCGUAGAAAUUAGCUGACCGGCAAAGUCCUUGAAAAAGGCAGAGUGCCGGGAGAUUGCGGUUUGCGUUUUCCGCGUUAAAGACUCUGGCGAAUACAUUAAAUUUCACACUUUUCAAUCACUAUCCUUUUCUCUUUCGUUUUAAACCGUCCGCUGAAUUAAUUACUUUUCUUUUUGGUUUUUUUUUUCCUUUCGUGUCGCGUCGUCUUUGCAAUACUUUUGUGCUCGUUUCGUAAUUAAUCGUCCCGUAAUACCGUAAUCAAGGCCGAUCGCGAACGCGUAGUGCAGUGGCAGUUCCCUCAUUUCUUCUUUGAUUUCCAGAUUUUUCAACGACACCAGAGAAAAGCUACUAACAAUCUAUUAUCAGAUAUUAUUAUUUCACCUUGAUUCCUGGUAAGUUGUCCAUUUCAUUUUAUCGAAUACGACGAAUCUGGACGUGGCGAGGCAAAAUGGGCGAUCUACGAAACCGAGAAUUCUGGAAAGUUUCCCCCUAGAUCGUUCCGUUCGCAAUCGAGACAAGAGAUUAUCAUGAUCUAACGAAACUACAAUCAAAGAAGAUAGAGAGAAUGUACAGAAUUUCCAAUAAAAUACCAGGACAAAUAACAGAAGUAUGUUCUCGAAACAGAAAUGCAGUUACUUUUUUGCAAGAUAUAUCUGAAAAUAUGAUGAAGCGUUUGAUCAGACACGGAGGGGAAAAUUGCAACAGAGAUAUUAUGGAGUAUAUAUACAUAUAUAUCUUCAUACAUGUAGCUUUUCACAUUAAGAAACAGAGCAUAUAAUAGAAGCUUUUCACUAAUUGAAUAUGACAAUCAAAAUCAAAUUGGGGAUAUAUUUGCCAUUAUUUGGCAAUUAAUUUGAAUCUGUUCAGACAUUGAUGGGAAAAUUACCACCAAAAAUUAUGAAGUACAAAAAUUGAAUGGAUACAUUAAAGAAAUUAACCAGCGUUGAGUGAAAUACUAAGAUAAAUAACAAGAACAUUCUCUGAAAAGAAAUGCAAUUACUUUGUCGCAAGAUAUAUCUGGAAAUAUGUUUAAGCAUUUAUUUAGACAUUGAUGAGGAAAUUACAAUAAAGGAAUUAUGGAGUAGAACAAUUUGAUAGAUACAGUGAACAAAUUAUCCAAAGAAGAGGAUUAUAAAAUUAGAUAAGUUUGUCUUCCAAAUCAUGGACUAUAAAAACAAUGUAAUGCGAGCAUAUUUUAAGUAAAUAAAUUAAUAGGAGAAAAUGAAA